CAGUUCGGAUUGCAGUCUGCAACUCGAGUGCAUGAAGCUGGAAUCGCUAGUAAUCGCGGAUCAGAAUGCCGCGGUGAAUACGUUCCCGGGUCUUGUACACACCGCCCGUCACACCAUGGGAGUCGGGAAUGCCCGAAGCCGGUGGCCCGAUCGAAAGAAGGGAGCCGUCGAAGGCAGGCCGGAUGACUGGGGUGAAGUCGUAACAAGGUACC
Molecule: ribosomal RNA, 212 nt
Filed under: uncultured bacterium
Lineage: Bacteria
Description: partial 16S ribosomal RNA
Rfam family: Bacterial small subunit ribosomal RNA
Source: RNAcentral